ACGGUUCGGCGAUUCAUCUAGUCGGUGCGAAGUUAUUAAAGAAACGGACGUUUAGGCUUCGUUUCCGCCUGGAGGGCCGAGGCGACGUCGUAAAAUCAUGGAAUCGGAUUUGAGGCACCGUAACAACAAAACGAAGACCUUUGUUGCCCGAGGCUGCGAAGCAAUGCGCGGUUGGUGCGCAAUAGCAAGUUCCGACGGAACCGAGCACCGGAUGCUGCGGGAGGCCAAUUGCAAGUGUCGACAAGCAAUCCGAAUGCAAUAGCAGGUUUGCAUGUGAGCGGCGCGGCGGCGCGAGGCGAGGGCGUAGCUCCGCAGAUAGCGCCCUACCACCGUGACCAGAGAUAGCGGUACCCAAGUCAGCCAAGCUAGGGGUUGUAGAAAAGGAAAGAAAAAGGAUCAAACUUGUAAUAAUCUUGUGAUGAUUGAUUGUAUUCGGAAGUUUAAAUGUAUUUGAAAGGAAAAGAAAUGUAAAUAA
Molecule: long non-coding RNA, 475 nt
Organism: Ananas comosus (pineapple)
Lineage: Eukaryota; Viridiplantae; Streptophyta; Magnoliopsida; Poales; Bromeliaceae
Exons: 2
Source: RefSeq, a predicted model, not a curated record